RNAcentral lists this long non-coding RNA (336 nucleotides) under Malus domestica (apple). RNAcentral describes it as "long non-coding RNA (MDOM_LNC004200)". Lineage: Eukaryota; Viridiplantae; Streptophyta; Magnoliopsida; Rosales; Rosaceae. The record is from RNAcentral.
AAACAUCCACCACUCCUUUUUAUCCCUAAAAACCGGCCACCCUAAUAAAAUAGGGUAAUUUUGGGGCUUUUAUGCAAUUACAUAAGUUUUGAUACUUUUGUGUAUUUGUACUUUGACCCGAAAGUUUACGUUUUGACGUUAAGGCCUAAAACGCUAAAGGACAAAUUGUUUUGCUCCUUUAAUGAAGUUUUGAAUUUAUUUAAAUUUUGGGUUCUAGUUGUAUUUACAUGAAGUAGUGACUUUUGUGUUUUUACAAAGUGACCCCAAAAGUUUAUGUUUUCGCGAUAUGGCCCAAAAAGUUGUGGUUAUUGCAUGAUGGCCCAAAUAGGAUGAGAA